AAUUUCAAAAGACAAAAAAAACUAACACUCAUUCACACACUUUUAUGCCUUUUGUGCCUCUUUAAAUUUUAAAUUUUGAUUAAAAGCAAUCCAUUCAUUUUGAAAUUGUUACCACAAACUACAAUGUUUUGAUCCCUCUUUUUAUGUUGGUACGUAGGCAGAAGUCCAAAGGUCUUGUUAAACACAAAAAUAUAUUCAAUAAAUUCUUG
Molecule: long non-coding RNA, 209 nt
Filed under: Lathyrus oleraceus (garden pea)
Lineage: Eukaryota; Viridiplantae; Streptophyta; Magnoliopsida; Fabales; Fabaceae
Description: Pisum sativum (pea) long non-coding RNA (PSAT_LNC036346)
Source: RNAcentral